RNAcentral lists this long non-coding RNA (621 nucleotides) under Olea europaea subsp. europaea. Lineage: Eukaryota; Viridiplantae; Streptophyta; Magnoliopsida; Lamiales; Oleaceae. The record is from RNAcentral.
AUAGCGCUCGCUACAAGAAGAGAGUCGAAAACGAAUGGGUGUUGGAAUUUCUCGCCAGCCUCAAUCGCGAACUUGAUGAUGCACGGGGGAGAGUCUUAAGCUGGCGACCGCUGCCAUUAACGAGGGAGGCAUUUGCAGAGGUAAGAAGAGAAGAGAAUCGCCGGAAAAUCAUGAUGAACGGCAGCUCUGAAGGCAAGGUGGAGUCUUCUGUGAUGAUGUCAAGAGGAACUGAAUUCGAAGUUUGGAGACGGGAUGGAAAACCAGUGAAUAGACUGGCUAUUAACGAGCCAAAUGGAUCCAUUGCCAACGGACCGGAAAGGUGGGCUGGAAAAACAAGUAAUGGGCCAGGAAAAUCUACUGGAAUACUUGGGCCAACUAGAUAUAAUAGUGGGCCCAGGUUAAAUGGGCUUUGCUCAAAGGGGCCAAAACAACAAAGGAGAAGACCUUGGUGCAAACACUGCAGGAAACCAGGUAACAAAGAGGAUACUUACUGGGAUAAACACGGGAAACCCACCGACUGGAAGCCAAGUCAAAAUUCAAGAAAUCGGAGCUAUCAAGCACAAGUUGACCCAACCGAACAUUCUAAAGAACACAAUUUCACUUCAGGUGAGGCGUUUAAUU